This 425-nucleotide ribosomal RNA is filed under the name uncultured bacterium. RNAcentral's name for it is "partial 16S ribosomal RNA". It matches the Rfam family "Bacterial small subunit ribosomal RNA", at positions 354 to 796 of the family's 1533-position model. The record is from RNAcentral.
GUGGGGAAUAUUGGGCAAUGGGCGAAAGCCUGACCCAGCAACGCCGCGUGAAGGAAGAAGGUCUUCGGAUCGUAAACUUCUAUCCUUGGUGAAGAUAAUGACGGUAGCCGAGAAGGAAGCCCCGGCUAACUACGUGCCAGCAGCCGCGAUAAUACGUAGGGGGCAAGCGUUGUCCGGAAUGAUUGGGCGUAAAGGGCGCGUAGGCGGCCUGGUAAGUCUGGAGUGAAAGUCCUGCUUUUAAGGUGGGAAUUGCUUUGGAUACUGUCGGGCUUGAGUGCAGGAGAGGUAAGUGGAAUUCCCGGUGUAGCGGUGAAAUGCGUAGAGAUCGGGAGGAACACCAGUGGCGAAGGCGACUUACUGGACUGUAACUGACGCUGAGGCGCGAAAGUGUGGGGAGCAAACAGGAUUAGAAACCCGGGUAGUCC